RNAcentral lists this ribosomal RNA (280 nucleotides) under uncultured bacterium. RNAcentral's name for it is "partial 16S ribosomal RNA". It matches the Rfam family "Bacterial small subunit ribosomal RNA", at positions 335 to 605 of the family's 1533-position model. The record is from RNAcentral.
ACUCCUACGGGAGGCAGCAGUGGGAAUAUUGCACGAAUGGGCGCAAGCCUGAUGCAGCCAUGCCGCGUGUAUGAAGAAGGGCCUUCGGGUUGAUAAGUACUUUCAGGCAGUGAGGAAGGUGGGUAUGUUAAUAGCAUAUUCAUUUGACGUUAGCUGCAGAAGAAGCACCGGCUAACUCCGUGCCAGCAGCCGCGGUAAUACGGAGGGUGCGAGCGUUAAUCGGAAUUACUGGGCGUAAAGCGCAUGCAGGUGGUUUGUUAAGUCAGAUGUGAAAGCCGGC